CAUUAAGAUACUAAGGGCGUAUGGUGGAUGCCUUGGCACCGGAAGCCGAUGAAGGACGUGGCAAGCUGCGAUAAGCCACGGGGAGCCGCAGGCGGGCUGUGAUCCGUGGAUCUCCGAAUGGGGAAACCCGGCGGGAGUCAUUUCCCGUCACCCGCACCUGAACGCAUAGGGUGCGAGGAGGGAACCCGGGGAACUGACACAUCUUAGUACCCGGAGGAAAAGAAAGAAAGCCUCGAUUCCCUGAGUAGUGGCGAGCGAAAGGGGAGGAGCCCAAACCGACCCUCGUGGAAGCCUGCGGGCGUUGCGAGGGCGGGGUUGUAGGGCCGGGCGUGGCCGCUCCGCAGGGCGGCCGGGGAGUUACAAAUCGCGCGGGUAGCCGAACCGGGAUGGAUAAUCUCGGCCGCAGAGGGUGAAAGCCCCGUAGGCGAAACUCGGGCGACUCCCUGUCCUGGUACCUGAGUAGGUCCGGACACGUGAAACCCGGAUCGAAUCCGCGGGGACCACCCCGCAAGGCUAAAUACUAACGGUGACCGAUAGUGAACCAGUACCGUGAGGGAAAGGUGAAAAGUACCCCGCAAGGGGGGUGAAAGAGUACCUGAAACCAUACGCCUACAAGCGGUCGGAGCAGCGGUUCUACUGCUGUGACGGCGUACUUUUUGCAUAACGGGCCAGCGAGUUGCUGGUGCCUGGCGAGGUUAAGCUUUACGGAGCGAGCCGCAGCGAAAGCGAGUCUGAACAGGGCGUCUAGUCAGGUGCCGCAGACCCGAAACCGGGUGAGCUAUCCAUGGCCAGGCUGAAGCGGGGGUAAGACCUCGUGGAGGGCCGAACCGACUCGGGUUGAAAACCGGGCGGAUGAGCUGUGGAUAGGAGUGAAAGGCUAAUCAAACCCGGCGAUAUCUGGUUCUCCCCGAAAUAUAUUUAGGUAUAGCCUGGCGUGUUUCGUCGCGGGUGUAGAGCACUGUUUGAGUGCGGGGCCCUACAAGGUUACCAAUCUCAGACAAACUCCGAAGACCGUGGACGUUAGAGCGCCGGAGUCAGGGGCCGGGGGAUAAACUUCGGUCCCGAGAGGGAAACAACCCAGACCGCCGGCUAAGGCCCCUAAAUAACGGCUAAGUGGCAAAGGAUGUGGCGCUGCACAGACAACCAGGAUGUUGGCUUAGAAGCAGCCAUCAUUUAAAGAGUGCGUAAUAGCUCACUGGUCAAGUGGUGUUGCGCCGAAAAUUCAGCGGGACUUAAGCCGUUUGCCGAAGCCGCGGACUUCGGCCUUGUGCUGGAGUGGUAGGGGAGCAUCCUGUCGCGGAUGAAGCGGCGGCGUGAGCUUGAGCCGUGGACGCAUCAGGAGAGAGAAUGCUGGCAUGAGUAACGAAAGACAGGCGAGAAACCUGUCCGCCGAAUGCCCAAGGGUUCCUGGGUAAAGCUAAUCUGCCCAGGGUUAGUCGGGACCUAAGCCGAGGGCGAAAGCCGUAGGCGAUGGACAGCAGGUUGAUAUUCCUGCACCACGGGCGUGGCGUCUGAGCGAUGGAGGGACGGAGAAGGGUAGGCCAACCGUGGCGCUGGUCGACCACGGGCUUGCUCGUAGGGCGGGGACCAGGAAAAUCCGGGCCCCGUUACAGGCCUGAGGAGUGAGCCGAAACCCUUCGGGGCGAAGUGGCUGAACCCAUGCUUCCGGGAAAAGCUUCUAAGCGAGUCACGCACGUGCCCGUACCCCAAACCGACACAGGUGGGCGAGUGGAGAACACUAAGGCGAUCGAGCGAACUCUGGUCAAGGAACUCGGCAAACUGUCCCCGUAACUUCGGGAGAAGGGGAGCUCUGGACGGUGAGGGUCCACGCGGCCCAGAGCUGUCCGGAGCCGCAGAGAAUAGGCCCAGGCGACUGUUUAUCAAAAACACAGGUCUCUGCUAAGUCGAAAAGACGACGUAUAGGGGCUGACGCCUGCCCAAUGCCAGAACGUUAAGGAAGGGGGUUAGCCUUCGGGCGAAGCUCCCGACCGAAGCGCUGGUCAAUGGCGGCGGUAACUAUAACCGUCCUAAGGUUAGUAACGCUAGCCUUAGUAAAACCGAACCAUAUGCGGGGAACUCCUAAAGCCGUCCGGUACUAGCCGGUAUACUUAUAUCGGCAGUAAAAAUCCGGCGGAUACAUGGACAAUCCGCAGGGAAGGCCCGCAGCUGCAGCGGGAACCCUCAGAGACUUUACGUUCGGGGUUGGCCGAUGAAGCUUGACGCAGGGUGGAUAACAGGCUUCGUGGAUGGUGAAGGUUGCUUCUUCGUCGGGAUCAACGAGCAUCCCGAGAUGAGCGCCGGAUAUCAGGUUCUGCCUGAAUUCACUGUCGUGCGGCACGAGCGCGAUGUGCAGCUUCUGUACGCGCUGAAGGCUUACUUCGGUUGCGGCGUGGUUCGCAAGGACCACGGUGACCGGAUGGCCUACCGCGUGAGGGGUAAGGAGCAUCUGCUCCGGCACAUCGUUCCAUUCUUCGUUAAGCACCCGCUGAAGUCCAGGAAGCGCGUGGAAUUUCAAAAGUUCCGCCGCAUCCUGUUGAUGAUGGAGGCGGGCGAUCAUCUGACAGCGGAGGGUGUUGAAGAGAUUCGACGCCUCGCCGCGCAGGUGAAUCGAGGCCAGCUAAGAUAAAGUCCGGCCCUUCUGGAAACAGUUGGGAGUGUCCGAGCGAAAUUCCUUGUCGGGUAAGUUCCGACCUGCACGAAAGGCGUAACGAUCUGGGCGCUGUCUCGACCAGAGGCUCGGUGAAAUUGUAGUAUCGGUGAAGAUGCCGAUUACCCGCGGAAAGACGGAAAGACCCCGUGAACCUUUACUGUAACCUGGCAUUGGAUGCUGACACACCUUGUGCAGGAUAGGAGGGAGGCUGGGAAGCCGGGACGCCAGUCUCGGUGGAGCCGUCCUUGAGAUACCUCCCUGGGUGUGUUGGUGUUCUAACCCCGCGCCGUGAUCCGGGUGGGGAACAGUGUCAGGCGGGCAGUUUGACUGGGGCGGUCGCCUCCUAAACGGUAACGGAGGCGCCCAAAGGUUCCCUCAGCACGGUCGGAAAUCGUGCGCAGAGUGCAAAGGCAUAAGGGAGCUUGACUGUGAGACCGACGGGUCGAGCAGGGACGAAAGUCGGGCUUAGUGAUCCGGCGGUAACGAGUGGAAGUGCCGUCGCUCAACGGAUAAAAGGUACUCCGGGGAUAACAGGCUUAUCGCUGCCAAGAGUUCACAUCGACGCAGCGGUUUGGCACCUCGAUGUCGGCUCAGCGCAUCCUGGGGCUGGAGUAGGUCCCAAGGGUUGGGCUGUUCGCCCAUUAAAGCGCUACGCGAGCUGGGUUCAGAACGUCGUGAGACAGUUCGGUCCCUAUCUUCCGUGGGCGCAGGAGACUUGAGGGGAGCGACUCCUAGUACGAGAGGACCGGAGUGGACGCACCUCUGGUGUACCGGUUGUCCUGCCAAGGGCACCGCCGGGUAGCUAUGUGCGGAAGGGAUAACCGCUGAAGGCAUCUAAGCGGGAAGCCCACCCCAAGAUGAGGUCUCCCCCCCUUCUAGGGGGUAAGGCCCCUGGUAGACCACCAGGUUGAUAGGCCACAGGUGUAAGUGCGGCGACGCAUUGAGCCGAGUGGUACUAAUAGGCCGAGGGCUUAAUG
Molecule: ribosomal RNA, 3627 nt
Filed under: Rubrobacter taiwanensis
Lineage: Bacteria; Bacillati; Actinomycetota; Rubrobacteria; Rubrobacterales; Rubrobacteraceae
Description: 23S ribosomal RNA
Rfam family: Bacterial large subunit ribosomal RNA
Source: RNAcentral